CCUGGUUGAUCCUGCCAAUAAUCAUAUGCUUGUCUCAAAGAUUAAGCCAUGCAUGUAUAAGUAUGAACUAAUUCAGACUAUGAAACUACGAAUGGCUCAUUAAAUCAGUUAUAGUUUGUUUAAUGGUAUCUACUACUCGGAUAACCUUAGUAAUUCUAGAGCUAAUAUGUGCAACAAACCCCAACUUCUAAAAGGGAUGUAUUUAUUAUAUAAAAGGUUGACGCGGGCUAUGCCCGUUGCUUUAAUGAUUCAUGAUAACUUGACGGAUCGCAUGGCCUUUGUGCCAGCGACACAUCAUUCUAAUCUUUGCGCUAUCAACUUUCGAUGGUAGGAUAGUGGCCUACUAUGGUGGUGAUGGGUGACAGAGAAUUAGGGUUUGAUUCCAGAGAGGGAGGCUGAGAAACGGCUACCACAUCCAAGGAAGGCAACAGGCACGUAAAUUACCCAAUCCUGACAGGGAGAGGUAGUGAGAAUAAAUAACAAUACCGGGCUCUAUGAGUCUGGUAAUUAGAAUGAGUACAAUCUAAAUCCCUUAACGAGGAUCCAUUAAAGGGCAAGUCUAGUGCCAGCAGCCAUGGUAAUUUUUGCUCCAAUAGCGUAUAUUUAAGUUGUUGCGGUUAAAAAGCUCAUAGUUGGAACUAGGGUUGGGUCGUCGAUCCGUCUCACGGAGAGCACCGAUCUACUUGUCCCUACUAUCGAUGAUGUGCUCAUGGACUUAAUUGCCUGAGUCAUUCCUCCACCGGUUUUACUUUGAAGAAAUUAGAGUGCUCAAAUCAAGCCUACGCUUGUAUACAUUAGCAUGGGAUAACAUCAUAGGAUUUUAGUCCUAUUGUGUUGGCCUUCGGGAUCGGAGUAAUGAUUGACAAGGACAGUCGAGGGCAUUCGUAUUUCAUAGUCAGAGGUGAAAUUCUUGGAUUUAUGAAAGACAAACAAUAGUGAAAACAUUUGCCAAGGAUGUUUUCAUUAAUCAAGAACGAAAGUUGAGGGCUCGAAGAUGAUAAGAUACAGUCUUAGUCUUAACCAUAAACGAUGUCGACCAAGGAUCGAUGGGUGUUACUUUUAGGUCUCUGCUGGCACCUUAUGAGAAAUCAAAGUCUUUGGGUUUCAAAGGGAGUAUGGUCUCAAGGCUGAAACUUAAAGCAAUUGAUGGAAGGGCACCACUAGGAGUUGAGCCUGUGGCUUAAUUUGACUCAACAUGGGGAAAAUUACCAGGUCCAGACAUAGUAAGGAUUGAUAGACUGGGAGCUCUUUCUUGAUUCUAUAGGUGAUGGUGCAUGGCCGUUCUUAGUUGGUGGAGUGAUUUGUCUAGUUAAUUCCAUUAAUGAACAAGACCUCAGCCUACUAACUAGCUACGCGGAGGUGAUCCUUCAUGGCUAGCUUCUUAGAGGGACUAUGGCCGCUUAGGCCAAGAAAGUUUGAGGCAAUAACAAGUUUGUGAUGCCCUUAUAUGUUCUGGACCGCACGCGCGCUACACUGAUGCAUUCAACGAGUCUAUAGCCUUGGCCGACAAGCCCGGGUAAUCUUUGAAAUUUCAUGAUGAUAGGGAUAGAUCAUUGCACUUGUUGGUCUUCAAUGAGGAAUUCCUAGUAAGUGCGAGUCAUCAGCUCACGUUGACUACAUCCCUGCCCUUUGUACAUACCUCCUGUCCCUCUUACCGAUUGAAUGGUCCUGGUGAAGUGUUUGGAUCACGGUGAUGUGGACGGUUCACUGCCUGUGAUGUCACGAGAAGUCCACUGAACCUUAUCAUUUUAAAAAAAAGAGAAGUCAUAACAAGGUUUUCGUAGGUGAACCUACAGAAG
Molecule: ribosomal RNA, 1799 nt
Filed under: Durio zibethinus
Lineage: Eukaryota; Viridiplantae; Streptophyta; Magnoliopsida; Malvales; Malvaceae
Description: SSU rRNA
Rfam family: Eukaryotic small subunit ribosomal RNA
Source: RNAcentral